CAAAAGAAAAGCUAACCCAACCAAGCCGGAGGAGUGGCUAGGCAUGCUCCGUCUGUCGGUUAUCGGAGAAACAUGAAAUUCCAGCAACGCAUAUACAGAACUCUGAAGGUUGGAACAACAGCCCCGGCAACGCUGAGCACAAUUCCAGGUCAGCUCGUGAAGGAUACACGUUGUCUCACGAACAGCCAUCCAUCGAAGAUGCGGCAC
Molecule: long non-coding RNA, 207 nt
Organism: Cryptotermes secundus
Lineage: Eukaryota; Metazoa; Arthropoda; Insecta; Blattodea; Kalotermitidae
Exons: 3
Source: RefSeq, a predicted model, not a curated record